RNAcentral lists this ribosomal RNA (399 nucleotides) under uncultured bacterium. RNAcentral's name for it is "bacterial SSU rRNA". It matches the Rfam family "Bacterial small subunit ribosomal RNA", at positions 357 to 773 of the family's 1533-position model. The record is from RNAcentral.
GGGAAUUUUGCGCAAUGGGGGAAACCCUGACGCAGCAACGCCGCGUGGAGGAUGAAGUCUCUUGGGACGUAAACUCCUUUCGACCGGGACGAUAAUGACGGUACCGGAAGAAGAAGCCCCGGCUAACUUCGUGCCAGCAGCCGCGGUAAUACGAGGGGGGCAAGCGUUGUUCGGAAUUAUUGGGCGUAAAGGGUGCGUAGGCGGCCCCGCAAGUCCCGUGUGAAAUCCUCAAGCUCAACUUUGGGUCUGCACGGGAAACUGCUGGGCUGGAGUGUGGGAGAGGUGAGUGGAAUUCCUGGUGUAGCGGUGAAAUGCGUAGAUAUCAGGAGGAACACCUGUGGCGAAAGCGGCUCACUGGACCACAACUGACGCUGAGGCACGAAAGCUAGGGGAUCAAAC